AAGGGUAUAGCUCAGUGGUAGCGCUCUUGCUUAGCAUGCCUGAGGUCCUGGGUUCAAUCCCCAGUACCUCCA
This 72-nucleotide transfer RNA is filed under the name Camelus bactrianus (Bactrian camel). It matches the Rfam family "tRNA". From Rfam's summary of the family: Transfer RNA (tRNA) molecules are approximately 80 nucleotides in length. Their secondary structure includes four short double-helical elements and three loops (D, anti-codon, and T loops). Lineage: Eukaryota; Metazoa; Chordata; Mammalia; Artiodactyla; Camelidae. The record is from Rfam by way of RNAcentral. RNAcentral also lists the same sequence under 2 other names.